UACAGAGGUCCCGAGCGUUGUUCGGAUUCACUGGGCGUAAAGGGUGCGUAGGUGGUCGGGUAAGUCCGAGGUGAAAUCUCCAAGCUUAACUUGGAAACUGCCUUGGAUACUAUUCGGCUGGAGGGUUGGAGGGGGGACUGGAAUGCUUGGUGUAGCAGUGAAAUGCGUAGAUAUCAAGCGGAACACCAGUGGCGAAGGCGAGUCCCUGGACAACUCCUGACGCUGAGGCUCGAAGGCCAGGGUAGCGAAAGGG
This 253-nucleotide ribosomal RNA is filed under the name uncultured bacterium. Its description in RNAcentral is "partial 16S ribosomal RNA". It matches the Rfam family "Bacterial small subunit ribosomal RNA", at positions 524 to 776 of the family's 1533-position model. The record is from RNAcentral.